This 689-nucleotide ribosomal RNA is filed under the name Haemophilus sp. HGPR66. RNAcentral describes it as "bacterial SSU rRNA". It matches the Rfam family "Bacterial small subunit ribosomal RNA", at positions 69 to 748 of the family's 1533-position model. Lineage: Bacteria; Pseudomonadati; Pseudomonadota; Gammaproteobacteria; Pasteurellales; Pasteurellaceae. The record is from RNAcentral.
GUAACAUAAAGAAGCUUGCUUCUUUGAUGACGAGUGGCGGACGGGUGAGUAAUGCUUGGGAAUCUAGCUUAUGGAGGGGGAUAACUACGGGAAACUGUAGCUAAUACCGCGUAAUAUCGAAAGAUUAAAGUGUGGGACCUUCGGGCCACAUGCCAUAGGAUGAGCCCAAGUGGGAUUAGGUAGUUGGUGAGGUAAAGGCUCACCAAGCCGACGAUCUCUAGCUGGUCUGAGAGGAUGACCAGCCACACUGGGACUGAGACACGGCCCAGACUCCUACGGGAGGCAGCAGUGGGGAAUAUUGCGCAAUGGGGGCAACCCUGACGCAGCCAUGCCGCGUGAAUGAAGAAGGCCUUCGGGUUGUAAAGUUCUUUCGGUAGCGAGGAAGGCAUUUAGUUUAAUAGACUAGGUGAUUGACGUUAACUACAGAAGAAGCACCGGCUAACUCCGUGCCAGCAGCCGCGGUAAUACGGAGGGUGCGAGCGUUAAUCGGAAUAACUGGGCGUAAAGGGCACGCAGGCGGUGACUUAAGUGAGGUGUGAAAGCCCCGGGCUUAACCUGGGAAUUGCAUUUCAUACUGGGUCGCUAGAGUACUUUAGGGAGGGGUAGAAUUCCACGUGUAGCGGUGAAAUGCGUAGAGAUGUGGAGGAAUACCGAAGGCGAAGGCACCCCUUGGGAAUGUACUGACGCUC